RNAcentral lists this ribosomal RNA (485 nucleotides) under uncultured bacterium. RNAcentral's name for it is "partial 16S ribosomal RNA". It matches the Rfam family "Bacterial small subunit ribosomal RNA", at positions 28 to 507 of the family's 1533-position model. The record is from RNAcentral.
GGUGAACGCUAGCGGCAGGCCUAAUACAUGCAAGCCAAGGGCUGGCUGGGUUAGAACUACCUCAAACAACCGGCGGACGGGGGCGUAACGCGUAUGCAACCUAACCCAUCCAGGAGGAGAGCCCUCGGGAACGAAGACUAAUACUCCAAAAGCUUGCUUAGAGGCAUCUUUAAGCAAUUAAAGUCGCACGGCGGGAGAGGAUGGGCGCGCGUCCGAUUAGCGCGUGGGUGAGGGAAAGGCGCACCAAGGCGAUGCUCUGCAGGGGUUCUGAGAGGAAGAUCCCCCGGACGGGCACUGAGACACGGGCCCGACUGCGACGGGAGGCAGCAGUAAGGAAUAUUAGGCGAUGAGGCCAAGCCUGAUCCAACCAUGCCGGGUGCAGGAAGAAUGCCCUUUGAGUUGUAAACUGCUGUUGAGAGAGAGAAAUAGGUGCGAUGCGUCGCUUGAUGAUAGUACUUCUAGAAUAAGCAUCGGCUAACUUCGUG